AACGAACGCUGGCGGCAGGCCUAACACAUGCAAGUCGAGCGCCCCGCAAGGGGGGCGGCGGACGGGUGAGUAACGCGUGGGAACGUGCCCUUUGCUACGGAAUAGCCCCGGGAAGCUGGGAGUAAUACCGUAUAAGCCCUACGGGGGAAAGAUUUAUCGGCAAAGGAUCGGCCCGCGUUGGAUUAGGUAGUUGGUGGGGUAAUGGCCUACCAAGCCGACGAUCCAUAGCUGGUUUGAGAGGAUGAUCAGCCACACUGGGACUGAGACACGGCCCAGACUCCUACGGGAGGCAGCAGUGGGGAAUCUUAGACAAUGGGCGCAAGCCUGAUCUAGCCAUGCCGCGUGAGCGAUGAAGGCCUUAGGGUUGUAAAGCUCUUUCGUGGGGGAAGAUAAUGACUGUACCCCAAGAAGAAGCCCCGGCAACUCCGUGCCAGCCGCCGCGGUAA
This 446-nucleotide ribosomal RNA is filed under the name uncultured bacterium. Its description in RNAcentral is "partial 16S ribosomal RNA". It matches the Rfam family "Bacterial small subunit ribosomal RNA", at positions 29 to 523 of the family's 1533-position model. The record is from RNAcentral.